GCUGCUGAGAGCAGCCACCUUCUCGACAGGCUCAGCUCUGGCAGGCUGCGCGCUGUGGCUCCAGGGACACCCCCCCUCCGACACCACGGCCUCCUGCAACCAGGAUAGGAGGACUGGGUUGGAGAAUUGAGUGCGUGUGUGUGUGUGGGGGGGGGUCUUUUAUUUGAGUUUAGUUUAGUUUGUCUUUACUUCUGUAGAGGGCUGAUGCUGGCGCUAAAAUUGGGCAGCAGUUGGCCCCAAAGUAACCUGCGACUCGCCCCUCUCCCGUGCGUCACGCAGCAGAGGGUGGCAGUUUGGCAGUAGCUCUGGGAACGCAGCCUGGCAGGGCGUUGGGCCUCGGCGUCCAAUUGAGGCCCAGUAGCCCCGCUCGUGUGCGCCUCUUGCCUGGGGUGUUUGUGCAUUCUUGGGGCUGUGAGGGCUGCUGGGCUGGUGCGGUCCCCAGCCUCGCACUGCCCUUCCGCGCGGGGCUCGAGUAAGGACGCAGUGAAUGAAUUCAUGAAGCAGCUCCACGGCGGAGAGGUCUAAGGAAUAGCCGCCCCGGUUAAAUGGGCUGCGGGCAGCUGCGGCCGACUGCCCCCUCCCCUCCUCUGAGCAGGCGUGUGGUGGCCCGGGAGCCCCGCCAGCAGCCCCCGCCCAUCAGGCGGAGCUCGGGCCCUGGCAAUCUCUGCACUUUGUCAUCACGCCCGAGUAUUUGACAUUCGCAAUUAUCUGCAAAUACCCUGAUCGGUUUGUAUAUGAAACACUUUUUUUCCUGCCUAAAGGUUGGAAUCUGACGGCUUUGCCUUCGGGGCACUGCUAGGACCCAAGACCCGGGAGAGAAGUCCCGAAGGAGAAGCCGAGGCCUGGAGCUUGGGAACUCCUCUGCUCACCUGAACUUGAGACAUUCGAAGGCCCCAGUGAACUAUCGGUUGUAUCAGAGCCUAGGAGUGCAAGGUAGCUGCGCCCCGGCCGAGGCCCUCGAUCCUGGAGGCCGGGUCUCCGAGGGCAUCCGGAGCCGAGGUGGGUUGUCCUGACUACCUGCAGCGCGCGCGGAUCGCAGGCCGGAGAAAAGGGCGCCGUGUAACGGGGAUGGUCGGCUACCUCUCCAGGGAUCGGCCCUGACUUGUUAGUAACUUAAGCGCCUCUGAACUCGGGGACCGCGUGUUGGGGCAGCUCCCUGCACACGCACACACACACUCACACGCACACACACACACACGCACGCAUGCACCUCCUUCCUUUGCCUCGCAUCUUUCCCUCCACUCUCCUGUCUUACCCCUACCCUCACCCCCGCCCAACCGCGGCCACACCACUUAGAGGCGCGCGGCAGCCACUCGGUUUAAGGAGCCAUCGUUUCAGAUGUUUAUUCAUAGCUAAGUGCUUAUGCAGGAAAAUGCUCGUCACCCGGACCGAACGCUUCCGCCCUGCGCUGGCGGACCUCGCCGGCGGCAGCUCAUGGAUCCCACCCGCGAAGCCACGAAGGAACGGGCUUCGGGGAGGCGGCUUUGCCACCCUGCGCUCAGCCACCGGCGCUGCUCCGGAUUCCCGGUAGGGGGAGCCGCCUCAGGCGCUAGGCCAGCUCGGGUCCAGGCCUCAAGCUGGCCCUGCCGCCGGCGGCAAACGGAACGCGGAGCGCGUGUGGCCGCCUCACCUGCUCUCCAGGUGCGAGCUGCCAGUAGAGAAGGGAUCACAGGGCCAAGCCCACUAAUUCCCGGUUGCUGCAUAGCGAAGAACAUAGGCGAGACCGAAGUAUAUUCUUUAGAUCCAGAUGUAGUUAAAUAACUUUGUAGGUGACGAGAUUACCACCUUUGCCCAUAUCCAAUGGGACAUAUAUUCAUUAUAUAGAUUUCACCCCCAUCUCCCACACACCCCCCCCGCCCCCAGUGGUUAAGGACUGUCCUUAGUUCCACAAAUUUUGAGGUGAUCUAAUCCCUUCUCACUGUGUUUCCAAGUCCUUUAUUUCCGGGAGCUUUAGAUGGUCCCAGCACAAACUAGGAGCUCAGAGGAGACCUGCUGGCUUUGCUGUAGUAGUCUCACAACAGACUCUCUUUCUUUCUGACUCCAUAUGCUUAAGCAAGGGUUUGGAAGCUUUCAUUUUAAGAUAUGACCAAUGUUUAGAGAACAACCCUAUUCCAGGGUCAAGAGGAAAGCAGUUAGCUGGACUGUUAGCCCACAGACCACCACACUGUGCCCAGUGUGGCCGCACAGGAGUGCUGAGGGACCAGAGACUUCCUGGUCAAUACUCCCACAGAUAAAAGCCUGCAAGCUCUCCAAUACAAAAUCCAGCCUUCCCCCAGGAACUCACAACUACCUUCUAAGAGCUCUCCUAAUGCUAAGUCAUCAAAGUCUCUUCGGGGAACCACAAACACAAAGAAUUUCACACUUGGAAGCAAACUUAAAGACCAUCUAUUCUUACAGUUGUAGUUUGCUGGUGAGGAACUUGAGCUGAAUACAGGCAAAGAAUCACACGCCAGGUGGGAAAGCUCAAAUGCCCCAAAGUCGCCUCUUCUGACCCUCAGUCCAGUACAGUUUGACUAUGGGGCUUUAGAUAUGCACUUUACGGUGGUUAUUAUCCUUGUAAUUAUUAUGUUCCCACAUAUUUUAGGGUUCUUAGUAAGGCAUACUCCUUUAAUAAUAUAUUGAUAAUAAAAUCUUCAAGGUCUGUGUGAAAAGAGUAUUGGCUCAAAGGGAGGAAAUUUUAGAAAUGAAGUUACAUAUAGCAUUGAAGCAUUUGGGGGAAAGACUAAACAAAAAUAGUAUUGUUUUAUCCCAAUUUAAGAACAUUGGAUAUGUGCAAAUAUGUGUCUGAAUGAACAAAAAAUGUGGGAUUCCUGGUAUUAUAAACGCAUUCUUUCAAGUUGUAUAGUUUUUCUCCAAAAAUCAGAGCUAAUUUAGUGCAUUUAAGUGUUUGUUUAUAGAUUUGUAAAUGUUAAAUUCUGGUGUCAUUUUUAAGGACCAAGAGGAAAGAAUACAUACAUUUCUAAAAUCAGAUUUGAAAAAAAAUAAAAAUCUAAUUACUAAAAAGUUGAUUUAGCCACAGUAGGGACAUUUCUUGAAUGAAAUAUUAUCAGAUAAGCCUAGAAAACAUUCCCAACUAUUUUUGUAAUAAACCCUGAGAUAUAAAUGAUAUUUUAUCAUUCUCUCCAUAAUUACCCUCUGAUUAAUUUUUGAUAAGGUCAGCACAAAAAUAAUUAUUUACAAGGACACUCCACUAUUCCUAUUUUGUAUCUGAUUCACAAAGGCAAAGAGAUACAUUAUCAAAUGGAAAUGUCUCAGUCUCUUUCCAUAACUAACAUCUGAUCUUUAGCAAAUGGCAUUGUUAUGUCACUGAAAUGGGUAUUGGACAAGGAACCAAUUGAUUUAUUGAUUUCCCUUCUUCAAAGUCCUUUGGGAAUUGGGGAGAAGAAGGAAAAGCAUAGGUUGGCUGAGAUGUGCGAUACUUAUUCUAUCAUACACAUACAAAAAUUAUAUUUGGCUGAUAAAAUUGACAAUUCAGAAGCACUGCUUAUAGAAAUUCAUAAUGGAAUGACACUAAGGCAACUCAGCUCAUCAACCUGCUUACUCCCCAACCCAGUCAUUUGCCCUUCCCAUUUCAGUCUUUUAGAAGUUAAAAAGCACCAAGUUUUCAGUUAGCCUACACACAACAAUGGCAACAAGAGAAAAAGAGGAGGUUCUCUGGGAAGGGAACAGAAUAGACACGUUUGCUUUCAAACACACAAUCCCGUUAGCCCUGCUCUAGGGCCCUGUAAGCUCUGUUGUAUCCCUGAAGACUGACACUUGCUGUGGAUCUCACAAGGGGUCUCCAUGGUCCGUCGGCUGGAGUGACUUCCCACCUGGGGGGUCUGAGAGAUUCCUGUGGCCUAAACCUGUGAUGGUUCACAGCAGACUCAUGGCAAAAGAAUAUAAGGCUGCUCUGAUUAUCGUUGGUUCUGUAGGUGAGGAUUUCAAAGCCUGGCUCCUUUCAGCCUCAAUCACUGAACCGGUUUUUGAGGAGAAAGACUUUAAUCCGAGUCCUCUUAAAAAUACCAACUAAACCGCCUGGAGAAACUCUACAUUGUAACCUCUGCCUAGGAAUUACCACACACAACAGUAUCUACAGCAAAGCUGAAACUAUACGAAUAAAAACAAACCUCAGACUUCCUCUCCCUUGGCACUCCGUGUGGGUGAGCUGCGUUGAAUAACAGGGAAGAUUUACUCGAAUGCAUUCUAAACACAACUGCAUAUUACCUACUUUGUUUUUCCUGUUCCCUCCCCUACUCCAAGAAGAAUUGAACCUCUUUGCCUUCCAUAGCUUUCUAUUCAUUUAGCUCAAUCCUCUGGGUUUAGCACCAUGAUCUAGGAAAUCCCUUCCCACUAAGGUGAGUCCACGUUUCUCCACCUGUGUCUGUGGGAGUGGGUGGAAGUCUACGGUGAAGAGUUUCUCUCUCUCAUUCCCCCAGCAGAGGGGUGAGCUUCCAGAACAGGUAAUUCACUUUACCCUGGUCGUGCUCCCUCACCCUUCCUGGAGGCUAGACUCCAGGCAUUCUCUUCUCAAAGAGACAUUGGAUGGAGAGGCCUGUGAAGAAGAAUCUGGAAUACUGCCUGCACCUCUUUCCUCACCCAGAAGACUGGUGGUGAAUAAGAUGUUGGAUAGGGAGUAUGAUGGAAAGGAAAGGAGAACUCUGACCACCCUUAAGGAGGUUAUGCCAGUGUGUGCUGGGAGCUGGUGCAGGAAAGAAGUCUCUUUUUAAAAAGAUUAAACGUAUUUAAACAAUAGUAUCCAUCUUCCUGUAAUGGUAACUUUAAUGACUAUGAAAAAUUCUUAAAAAUAAUGUAAAUAUUGGGGGCAAUGAAGCAUUAUGCUUCGGAAUUUUAAACCUAUAGUGUACAUCAAUUCUGUCAUUGCCACUUAACUAGCAGUGUAAACCUGGGGAGGUUAACUUACCUCUCGGAUCCUCAUUUUUCAUAUCUGUCCAAUGGGCAUGAUACUAAUAGCUAUCUCAUAAAGCUGAGAGGAUUAAAUGAAAUGCUCUAUGUAAGUUGCUUAAAACAGCUUUUAGAACAUAGUAAAAACCUUGAGAAUGUUUACUCUAUUAUUAUGAUGUGGGAAUUCCUAAUCCAAUUGGCCUUCUCUCUUUCUCUCUUAAUUCAUACUGAAAAAUUAUUGAGUGAGCAAGGAGUUGAAGGUUAGAUCACAUUGUUCUCUUAGAUCCAGUUUUUUUUUAAGACAAAAUAAUGCAAAGGACCUUAUAGCACUUCAUCACCAGUGAGAUUUUUCUGAAUUGUAUUAAGCAUCUGUCUAGAGCCUUUUCCUCAGCUGUUUUGUACUCUUUCUUCCCCUACACUGGAGGCUCCUCCGCUGGGCAAGACGGGCAGAGGUUAGCAGGACUUUCUUCCAAGAGGUCAUUUCAGAGGACUGUGCUCAGGCAGGUAGAACUUAUCAUAUGGCCUCAGAGUUGUGAUAUUAUAUUGGUUCAGGGUAAAGAAAAAGAAAUGCAAGAUUCUUUGAUUCUUGCUACAGGGACACAGGGUGUCUUAUCAAAUGGUGAGAAGACCUAGGCUUACUAUGAGAAACAUCUCUCUGCAUUAAAUUUGCCCAGGCACCGGUGUUGUUUGUUUGCUGUUGACAAAGAAAUAAAAUAUUGCCAUUUCCCUAUUACAGUCAUCUGAUUUUAGGGAACAAAAUGGUUAUACCUUGUUGGGUUAGGCGGUAUUCUCCAUCCGGUUUAUAAAUUCCUCUGCUGUUCUCACUGUGGUCAGAUUUUUCUCUGGGUUGUGUUCUUUUAGCUACACUGAGGCCACCAGCAGCCCCAGAAGGGCACAAUGACAAAGUAGAGACUUCAGGGGCAGCAAAACCAAAUCAGAAUUCUCUUCACUUACCUGGAAGACCAAGCACAAACCCGUGGGGGCCAUGCUUGAAGCGGCCUCUCCAGCCUUUCGCAAAAGCAGAGCAGACUGUACGGGCUACCACCAAAGACCCACUUCUUCUGUCCUGCGGCUUUGUGUCUCUUUUCCUGAGGAUUUCUCAAAGUCUACACACUAGGUCAAAUCAGCUUGCGGCAGGUUGGUUAGACACCUGGCCUACCAUUGCCUUUGACUUCAGAUGUAAGUGUUCAAAUGCAGAGUCGUGAGGCCCAGGAAGAGGCUUUCGGAGGGGAAACACCCAAGACGCUGUUCUGUAUGGUUCUCUCUUUGAUUCAAUGUUUUGUCCUUUGUGAGCUCUGCCUAGAUAUCUACAUCAGUUUGAAACAUUCAUACAAUAAAAUUUCAAUGACCUUCCA
Molecule: long non-coding RNA, 6239 nt
Organism: Orcinus orca (killer whale)
Lineage: Eukaryota; Metazoa; Chordata; Mammalia; Artiodactyla; Delphinidae
Exons: 2
Source: RefSeq, a predicted model, not a curated record